Long non-coding RNA from Amphimedon queenslandica, 535 nucleotides. RefSeq lists it as uncharacterized. The record is from RefSeq and is a predicted model, not a curated record. Lineage: Eukaryota; Metazoa; Porifera; Demospongiae; Haplosclerida; Niphatidae. The transcript is spliced from 3 exons.
UUAUUCAGUUGCUUGCCAUGUCAAUGAUGGUACAACUAAGAAUAGUACAAGAACAGAACUUAUUGUCAGAGAUUUCUCUAAUCCUACAAGACACGGUAAUGAGGUUACCCUUUCUCUUUGCAGUUUUCCUGAUGGUAUAUAUUAUCAAAAUGGUCCCAACCCUAACUUACUGGUGGCCCCAAUUAAUCAAAGCUAUACCCUGACCGUCAAUGGAUCUACUGAAGGUCGAUACAGAUGUGGUUCCAGUGGUAUUGGUAGAACAAUAAUAGUCCUCCGUCAAUUUAAAGAAAACAAUACUUUAGUACCUAAAACUUUAACUUGGGGACAACGUCAGGUUCUUGACUGUACUGGCUAUGUACCUGGAAACUAUCACAAAGGCUAUAAAGUUGCAUGGUUACUAGAUGGCCGUCAAAGAUGUAUUAAAGGCUCUGCCUGUGAAGCCAAUAACUUCAACAUAAACCCCGAUAAUUUCAGUUUAAGUUUUGAUUAUUACCCAACUUUCACCACCUAUGAAUGUCAAAUUGAAUCAGAUGAG